This 402-nucleotide long non-coding RNA is filed under the name Gallus gallus (chicken). RNAcentral's name for it is "long non-coding RNA NONGGAT004810". The record is from RNAcentral. Lineage: Eukaryota; Metazoa; Chordata; Aves; Galliformes; Phasianidae.
CAGGCGUUUAUUAGAACAGUUGCACACCGUGUUUCCUUCCUAGAAGAGAAAGUGCCCGAAGCAAAGAAGAGUCAUGGUGCCUUUUUAAUACCACUUUCCAACUGUUUCGAUAUGCAGUUAUCCCAUCUUUAAAAACGUCUGGGACAUACCUUAACUCUGUAAAGAACAUCAUGAAUAUGCAGUCUGGUUAACAGGCAUGGAAAGGACACGACCUCCUCCAGGAGUGGCACUUUAAGAUCUGCCAAAACUCUAUCAAACCAAAGACUUUUUCCCUAUGAACAAUGUAGGUACCAAGUAUCAAAAUCAUUGAUUUCUGUCUCUUUUAUAAAAGGCUGGGUUUGUUCUUAUGGUUCAUACUUUAUAUAUGUAAGUAGAAGCAACUGUUAUACUUCAGAUCUUUGG